RNAcentral lists this ribosomal RNA (482 nucleotides) under uncultured bacterium. Its description in RNAcentral is "partial 16S ribosomal RNA". It matches the Rfam family "Bacterial small subunit ribosomal RNA", at positions 30 to 507 of the family's 1533-position model. The record is from RNAcentral.
AUUGAACGCUGGCGGCAUGCUUUACACAUGCAAGUCGAACGGUAACAGGCCGCAAGGUGCUGACGAGUGGCGAACGGGUGAGUAAUGCAUCGGAACGUGCCCAGUCGUGGGGGAUAACUACUCGAAAGAGUAGCUAAUACCGCAUACGAUCUAUGGAUGAAAGCGGGGGACCGUAAGGCCUCGCGCGAUUGGAGCGGCCGAUGUCAGAUUAGGUAGUUGGUGGGGUAAAGGCUCACCAAGCCAACGAUCUGUAGCUGGUCUGAGAGGACGACCAGCCACACUGGGACUGAGACACGGCCAAGACUCCUACGGGAGGCAGCAGUGGGGAAUGUUGGACAAUGGGCGCAAGCCUGAUCCAGCAAUGCCGCGUGCAGGAAGAAGGCCUUCGGGUUGUAAACUGCUUUUGUACGGAACGAAACGGCUCUGGUUAAUACCCGGGGCUAAUGACGGUACCGUAAGAAUAAGCACCGGCUAACUACGUG